This 442-nucleotide ribosomal RNA is filed under the name uncultured bacterium. Its description in RNAcentral is "SSU rRNA". It matches the Rfam family "Bacterial small subunit ribosomal RNA", at positions 26 to 518 of the family's 1533-position model. The record is from RNAcentral.
AGAGCGAACGCUGGCGGCAGGCUUAACACAUGCAAGUCGAGCGCCCCGCAAGGGGAGCGGCAGACGGGAGAGUAACACGUGGGAACGUACCUUUCGGUUCGGAACAACCCAGGGAAACUUGGGCUAAUACCGGAUACGCCCGUAAGGGGAAAGAUUUAUCGCCGGAAGAUCGGCCCGCGUCUGAUUAGCUAGUUGGUGAGGUAACGGCUCACCAAGGCGACGAUCAGUAGCUGGUCUGAGAGGAUGAUCAGCCUCACUGGGACUGAGACACGGCCCAGACUCCUACGGGAGGCAGCAGUGGGGAAUAUUGGACAAUGGGCGCAAGCCUGAUCCAGCCAUGCCGCGUGGGUGAUGAAGGCCCUAGGGUUGUAAAGCCCUUUCGGCGGGAAGAUAAUGACGGUACCCGCAGAAGAAGCCCGGCUAACUUCGCGCCAGCAGCCGC